RNAcentral lists this transfer RNA (77 nucleotides) under Bacilli bacterium. RNAcentral describes it as "tRNA-Arg". It matches the Rfam family "tRNA". Rfam says of the family: Transfer RNA (tRNA) molecules are approximately 80 nucleotides in length. Lineage: Bacteria; Bacillati; Bacillota; Bacilli. The record is from RNAcentral.
GCGCCCAUAGCUCAAUUGGAUAGAGCGCUUGGCUACGGACCAAGAGGUUGCGGGUUCAACUCCUACUGGGCGCGCCA